UGAUCCAAUCUCCUUUAAUAGCGGCUGUGGCCUUCCAGUUGAAUUCUAACACUCAAAUGGGGCUGACUCGGAGCAAGCCAAAGAGCAUGUUUUCGCAAGCAAAAUGGAGGCGCGAGGAUCUGGAAUUCACUGGAAACCCAGGACAGAUCAGGUUGGACCUGCAUGGAAGAGCCCUUGCCUGAAUUACAGAAUUAAGCCCUGCAAAGACCUUCCCUUCUACCCACAAGCCCUGGCCCUGGAUGACUUGAAGUCUUCUCCAGAUGAUUCAGCAUAUUCCCGGCCUUUCUCUGCGCAGAGGUGAUUUAUCGUGAGCUCUGCGGGGCCUGCCGAGGGUG
Molecule: long non-coding RNA, 335 nt
Organism: Lutra lutra (Eurasian river otter)
Lineage: Eukaryota; Metazoa; Chordata; Mammalia; Carnivora; Mustelidae
Exons: 4
Source: RefSeq, a predicted model, not a curated record